Non-coding RNA from Ciona intestinalis (vase tunicate), 3438 nucleotides. The record is from RefSeq and is a predicted model, not a curated record. Lineage: Eukaryota; Metazoa; Chordata; Ascidiacea; Phlebobranchia; Cionidae.
AGAGUGAAAAUAAGGACAAAAGUUCAAAAGGUGCACGAUGCCCAUGUUUUGCAAAUACUCAGAAAUAUCAACAAGUCCUACAAGCUGUAAGGAUUUUUGUUUAAAUGUCGUCAAAUGACUCAAAGCAAAGGGCAUUGACACCAGUUAGUUUAGCUAAACUGAGGCCAUUUAUAACUUAGGUAAGCUUAUGCAGUCAGUUAAUUUAAAGAAAAAGUCUGAGAAUUGUAGAACAUAUUCUCUAUUACAUAUUUAAUUCUCUCGGUUACACAUGAGGUAUUAAAUAAGUUAAAAUUCAUGUUUAAACUACCACUUAUAGUAUACAGUCAACUCAACUUCUAAAUGAAGCUCAAUCGUAUUUGUUCUGUAGAUUUUUUCCUAUUAUUCUUUCCAAUUCUCUGUAAAUUAAACUGUAUAUAUAUUUGGAAUUGUGAGCUUUGAAAAAAAACUGUGCAACACUGGAUGCCAACAUGCAUAAAGGUAAUGAAGUAAUACCGAUGAAAGAAAAGAAUGGAACAAGUUUUUCUGACCCGAUUUCUACCGUUUCAUUACCAAUGGAUAAUGGAAGUGGUUCCGAUACAAAAAGAACAGUGAUGUCUUUUCACGACGUUCAGUACAAUGUGAAUUUACGAACCGGUAUCACUGGGAAAUGCAAGAAAUCAAAGGAAAAGAGAGUCUUGUCCAAUGUCAGUGGAAUCAUGAAGCCGGGUUUGAAUGCAAUCAUGGGACCAACUGGAAGCGGGAAAUCCUCCUUACUUGACAUUUUGGCUGGUCGAAAAGAUCCAGUUGGUUUGUCCGGGAAUAUUCUCAUCAAUAAUCGACCAUUGCCGUCAAAUUUUAAGAGAAUUAGUGGAUAUGUUGUUCAGCAAGACAUCGUGAUUGGAACGCUCACUGUGCGAGAAAAUCUUUGGUUUUCAGCAAAUCUUCGAUUGCCGAGGUCGGUCUCGCAGAAAGACAAAAAGAAACGAAUUGAGGAGAUUUUAUAUGACCUCGGACUCACAAUGUGUGCGGAUACCAAGAUCGGGAAUGAGAUGAUCCGAGGAGUAUCGGGAGGAGAGAAGAAGAGAGCAUCGAUUGGGAUGGAGCUCAUCACUGCUCCAACUGUUCUCUUCCUGGAUGAACCAACCACAGGGUUGGAUGCUUCCACUGCUAAUGCCGUCAUGUUUCUACUGAAAAGACUUGGAAACAAAGGCCGAACCAUCAUUCUGUCAAUCCACCAACCAAGAUAUAGUAUAUUUCGACAGUUUGAUACUUUGACGCUCUUAUCACUUGGCAGACUUAUAUAUCAUGGGCCUAAUGAUAAAGUACUUCCACAUUUUGAUGCACUUGGUUACCAUUGUGAGGAACACAACAAUCCCGCCGAUUUUUUCCUCGAUGUUAUAAAUGGAGAUUCCACAGCUUUAUCUAACAAUAUUGAGUCUACUGCUGCUAAUCCUGCUCAAUCUAAAGCUUUAGAUUCUGACAUUGAAGAAAUGACAGACGAGACGAGCAAAAGCAUGGCUGAACAAUUAUCGGAAAAGUUUGCAACUUCUGAAAUAUACAACGACACCAAAGUAGAAUUGGACGAAAUAUUUACCAAGUUUCAAGGAGCAAAGAAAAAAGUAGCAUUCGAAGGAACAAGCCAAUAUGCAACACCAUUUUAUUACCAGUUCGCUAUUCUUUCACAAAGAGCAGCAAAAAAUGUGAUUCGUAAUCCCCUUGCUUCUGUUGGUAAUUUGGUUCUUAACUUGAUAGUUGGUGUGGUGUUUGGAUUACUGUAUUACCAAGUAGACGAUACACCAGACACUGGCACACAAAACAGGUUUGGAGUUCUCUUUUUCAUUACAACCAAUUUAUUAUUCGGAUGCAUUAGCGCUAUCGAGGUGUUUGUCAAAGAAAAAGAUAUUUUUGUGCAUGAGUAUGUGUCGGGUUAUUAUCGGGUGAUCGCGUAUUUCCUCUCCAAACUUGUGGCUGAUUUGAUUCCAAUGCGCACGAUUGCCCCGAUCAUUUUUUGCUCAGUAACUUACUGGAUGGUUGGUUUAAAAGCUGACCCUGGAUCAUUCUUCACAUUCUUACUGAUGGUUCUACUCACUGGCUAUGCUGCUGUAUCAAUUGCUCUCUUUUUCUCGGCCACUUUCAACAGCUUUGCCGUGGCGAGCAUCUUUAUUUCUCUCACUUUCGUUUUCUCAAUUUUGUUCGCUGGUUUGCUGGUUAACGUUGACACAAUUCUACCAUGGCUGGCGUGGAUCAAAUAUCUCAGUGUUGCGCAAUAUGCUUUCUCGGGUUUGUGUGUGAAUGAGUUCCGUAAUUCCCUCUUCAUAUCUUGUGCACCACGUAACUCAACCAGGCUACCCGCAUCUGCUUUACAAGAAGCUGGGUCAUUUGGUUUAGAUAUCUCAACACAGGGAAAUUUGACAUGUUACUCAAUAACUGGAGAAGAAUUUCUGUCAUCAAGACUUGGAAUUGGAAGCGUGGAUUCUGCAGGUGUUGUCACAAUAGCAGAUUGGGACCAGUGGGUAAACGUGGUCGCUCUCUCAUGUAUUACAGUAGGAAUGCUCACACUUACAUACAUACAACUUACGCGCACUAAAACUAUGACUUAAUCACACUUAUGGUAGAAUAAGGCGUGUAUGACUAAUGUUUUUCUACUGGAACUAAUGUUGUAAUAUUAAUAUUUAAAUGCAAGCAAAGACGAAGUAGGGUGUAUAGCUGUUUUUUUAUUUUUUUUUGGCUUGCUGUAAUUUACGCAAAGCCGCUGUCGUUGCCUCUGUGUAGAAUAUACGCAAACUCUUUUUCUCAAGCCAAUGUUGGGUAUAGUAGGUUGGGGUAAGAUGGGACAUACGUUCUCUUUUCUUCUCCCAUUAGGUAGUAAACAAAGAAUAUUAACAUAAAUAUAUAACCGCAUCAUCACGACUCUAAAAAAGUGUUGUUGACUGUUCAAAAAAAUAAUGGAUUAAAAGUGCUUACAGAAUUCCAUCUUACCCCACGUAAUAUAUAUCUAUUUCAUCUUCUUUAUGCAACUUACUUUUCUUCAUUGUGGAUCUACCAUUUUUCACUUUAAGCCAAAAUACGUUAGAUUUCUGUCCAAGCCGUUCAUACCACACAAGGCUUAAUACGAGUACGAACCGCCUUUAUCUAUUUCUGACAAAUUUCAAAGCAAUAAAUUAUAAUAUUUAUUACUUGCACUUCCCGUCCACGGCUCAUUAGCUUAUCACUACGCCUCUAUUCUGUUGCAAUCUGUUUCAGAGAACUAUUUCUUCUGUUAAAAACGUCGAUACUUUUUCCUUCAGUAUUUUUGUAUUCCAAUCCUAUUACAAAAUACUAACAAUGUACGACAGCAAAGGAGAAGCUAUUAUUAACAUUACACUUGGCAGUUUAAUUUGUUGCUGGAAAUAUCGAACAUAUUAAUGUUACUCAUUGUUUAUUGUUUCUGAUAUGAAAAUACAUUUUCUUGUUGUUUCA